This 253-nucleotide ribosomal RNA is filed under the name uncultured bacterium. RNAcentral describes it as "partial 16S ribosomal RNA". It matches the Rfam family "Bacterial small subunit ribosomal RNA", at positions 524 to 776 of the family's 1533-position model. The record is from RNAcentral.
UACGAACCGUGCGAACGUUGUUCGGAAUCACUGGGUUUAAAGGGCGCGUAGGCGGGCUGUCAAGUCGGUGGUGAAAUCGUUCCGCUCAACGGGACAAUGGCCUUCGAUACUGGCGGCCUGGAGGGAGGUAGGGGCAUGCGGAACUUCCGGUGGAGCGGUGAAAUGCGUAGAUAUCGUCUGGAACGCCGAAGGUGAAAACAGCUCGCUGGGGCUGCGCUGACGCUGAGACACGAAAGCCAGGGGAGCGAACGGG